RNAcentral lists this ribosomal RNA (451 nucleotides) under uncultured bacterium. Its description in RNAcentral is "bacterial SSU rRNA". It matches the Rfam family "Bacterial small subunit ribosomal RNA", at positions 354 to 796 of the family's 1533-position model. The record is from RNAcentral.
GUGAGGAAUUUUGCGCAAUGGGAGCAAUCCUGACGCAGCAACGCCGCGUGGGUGAUGAAGGCCUUCGGGUCGUAAAGCCCUGUCAGGUGGGAAGAACGUCUUGGGGAUGAAUAAGCUCUGAGAGUGACGGUACCACCAGAGGAAGCACCGGCUAACUCCGUGCCAGCAGCCGCGGUAAUACGGAGGGUGCGAGCGUUAUUCGGAAUUACUGGGCGUAAAGCGCGUGUAGGCGGGGAGGCAAGUCUGAUGUGAAAGCCCCGGGCUUAACCUGGGAAGUGCAUUGGAAACUGCUUUUCUUGAGUGCUGGAGAGGAAGGGGGAAUUCCCGGUGUAGAGGUGAAAUUCGUAGAGAUCGGGAGGAAUACCAGUGGCGAAGGCGCCCUUCUGGACGGCAACUGACGCUGAGACGCGAAAGCGUGGGGAGCAAACAGGAUUAGAUACCCCAGUAGUCC